Molecule: unclassified non-coding RNA, 378 nt
Filed under: uncultured Parachlamydiaceae bacterium
Lineage: Bacteria; Pseudomonadati; Chlamydiota; Chlamydiia; Parachlamydiales; Parachlamydiaceae
Description: contains 16S-23S intergenic spacer region
Source: RNAcentral
UCCUGGUUAACCCAGGCAGUCUCGCUAGAGUUCCCAGCAUUACCUGUUGGCAACUAACGAUAAGGGUUGCGCUCGUUGCGGGACUUAACCCAACACCUCACGGCACGAGCUGACGACAGCCAUGCAGCACCUGUGUAAAGGCCCCGAAGGGCUAUAACAUUUCUGCUAUAUUCCUCUACAUGUCAAGUCUGGGUAAGGUUCUUCGCGUUGCAUCGAAUUAAACCACAUGCUCCACUGCUUGUGCGGGUCCCCGUCAAUUCUUUUGAGUUUCACCCUUGCGAGCGUACUCCCCAGGCGGUAUACUUAUCGCGUUAGCUCCGGCACAAUCGGGGUUGAGUCCGACUACACCAAGUAUACAUAGUUUACGGCAAGGACUAC